RNAcentral lists this microRNA precursor (107 nucleotides) under Pelobates cultripes (western spadefoot toad). The stretch from base 12 to 96 matches the Rfam family "mir-142 microRNA precursor family". Lineage: Eukaryota; Metazoa; Chordata; Amphibia; Anura; Pelobatidae. The record is from RNAcentral.
ACAAAGACCUACAGUGCAGCCACCCAUAAAGUAGAAAGCACUACUAGACAGGUCUGAACGCUGUAGUGUUUCCUACUUUAUGGAUGAGUGUACUGGACGCUACAGGA